Molecule: ribosomal RNA, 475 nt
Filed under: uncultured soil bacterium
Lineage: Bacteria
Description: bacterial SSU rRNA
Rfam family: Bacterial small subunit ribosomal RNA
Source: RNAcentral
AGGACGAACGCUGGCGGCGUGCCUAAAACAUGCAAGUCGAACGAGAUAGCAAUAUCUAGUGGCGAACGGCGGAGUAAUACAUAAGCAACGUGCCCCCGAAGACUGGGAUAGCGGACCGAAAGGUCCAGUAAUACCGGAUGUGGCCCACUUAGGACAUCUUAGGUGGAUUAAAUGGUUUUUCGCUUCGGGAGCGGCUUAUGACCUAUCAGCUUGUUGGCGAGGUAACGGCUCACCAAGGCUACGACGGGUAGGGGGUCUGAGAGGAUGAUCCCCCCGAGUGGGACUGAGACACGGCCCACACACCUACGGGUGGCAGCAGUUGGGAAUCUUGCACAAGUGGGGGAAACCCUGAUGCAGCGACGCCGCGUGGAGGAUGACGGAUCGUAGGUCUAGUUAAACUUCCGUUUUGCGUAAGGAAAGUACGUUAAGGACCGUACCGUAGAACGAAGUAACGGACCGGACUAACGUACGUACG